AAUAACCAAAUAUCCGCACAGGAUUGAGAUUGGGUGAGGUAAUUAUUCUCACAGAUGCCACACUAGGGUCAUAAAUUCCUCCCCAAAUUGUGGCUUUUAGCACUAGUAAAAAUGCUCCUAAACCCAACAAAACCAGAUGAAUACCAAUAAUGGUGGUCAUUUUGUCUUCAUCUUCCCA
Molecule: antisense RNA, 178 nt
Filed under: Anabaena cylindrica PCC 7122
Lineage: Bacteria; Bacillati; Cyanobacteriota; Cyanophyceae; Nostocales; Nostocaceae
Description: Antisense RNA which regulates isiA expression
Rfam family: Antisense RNA which regulates isiA expression
Source: Rfam by way of RNAcentral